This is a long non-coding RNA of Pantherophis guttatus, 1543 nucleotides long. RefSeq lists it as uncharacterized. NCBI's taxonomy places the organism in Eukaryota, Metazoa, Chordata, Lepidosauria, Squamata, Colubridae. The record is from RefSeq and is a predicted model, not a curated record.
CAAAUUAAAUUAAAUUAAAUUAAAUUCUUCUUCAAAGGGAUCGACUGGAUUCCUAGUCCGUGCUUCUCCUUUGAUUUCGCCCUGCCCUGGAGAGAGCUCGUCUUUUAUAUUAUAUUAAUAUAAAUUAUUAUAUAUUAAUAUAUAAUAUCCUUUCUCUCUUUUUCUCCCUUCCUGUCUUUUCCUUCUAUCUUUCCCCUUUCUUUCAUUAUCUUUCUCUUCCUUCCUUUUUCUCUUAACCUUUCUUUCCCUUUUUCCAUUCCUUCUUUUCUUCCCUUUUUCUUUCCCUUCCUUUCCCUCCUUUUCUAUUUUUCUCUUUCCCUUCCUUUCAUUUUCUUUCUUUUCCUCCUUUUCUAUCGUUCUUUCCCUUUCUUUUUUCUUUCCCUCCCUUCCUUUUAUUUCUUUUCCUUCCUUCCUUUCAUUCUCUUUCCCUUUUUUAUUUUCCUUUCCUUUCCUUCCCUUUUUCUUUUCCUUCCUUUCCCUCCUUUCCUAUCUUUCUUUCCCUUUUUUCUUUCCCUUCCUUCCUUUCAAUUUCUUUCUUUUCUUCUUUCAUUCUCUUUCCUUUUUUUCCUUUCCUUUUUUCCCUUUUUCUUUUCCUUCCUUUCCCUCCUUUUCUAUCUUUCCCUUUACCUUCUUUCUUUUUUUCCCCUUCCUUCCUUUCCCAUUCUUUCUCUUCCUUUUAUACAGCCACCGAUCUGGCUUCCCAGCAGGGCAAGAAACAGAAAAAAAGAUGGAGAAGGGCAUCCUUAAUGCCCCCUCCUCAGAAAAAGUCAAGAGCCACGUGGAUCGAGAGACAAAGAGCCGAGAUUGCUGGGGGGAGUUACAAUGCCCUGAUUGGAGAUCCGCUCUGAGACGUUGGGAAGCCACGUGGAGGUUAGAGAAAGGCUGAAUCACAGAUCCCCGACAACCUAAGGACGGCAGGAGAUCUCAAAAAAGAUCCCAGAGCGAUGAUUCGUGGCGAUCAUCCAAUCCGUGGGAGCUAAAAGCCAACCUGAUCCUUUAAAAAAUCUUUUUAGGGAUGUAGGAGAUGAGACUCCGGAAAGAACAACAGGGUUUGGACAAGAUUGAGGUGUAACCAAGAAAACUGAAGAUCGGCAAACAGAAAAGACAUCCAGGACUUCAAAAGACUUCAGAAAAAUAAUCUGCAGUGUAUUAAUUUUAUGUAUUUCUUUGCCUAUUCCUAUAUGUACUUUUCGAGUUAUUCAAAGCUGUUACCAAUAAUUACAUUUUUUUUUAAAACAAAUGUGAUGGUGUCAUUUUUAAAAAGAUCAGUAAAUCUCAGAGCUGGCAUCCUACAGCCUAUUUAAAUUUGGCACCUAUUAAUAAUGAUUGAAUAUAAUUUGAGUAUCGAAGUUUCUUCCGUACAUAACCCUGAUUCAGUUUAAAUGAAGGCCCGAUUUAAUCUAAUUAAAUUAAAAUUCUUUAAAUUGUCGCACUUUAUUGUCUUUUGAGUUUUCUUUUAUGUGGAUUGUUUUCUGUUUGGGACAAAAUCCUUUUUCCCCCCCGUUUCAUUUCUAUACAAUAAAUUAUAUUUUGAAAAGCUUGA